This 1423-nucleotide ribosomal RNA is filed under the name bacterium. RNAcentral describes it as "bacterial SSU rRNA". It matches the Rfam family "Bacterial small subunit ribosomal RNA". The record is from RNAcentral.
UGCAAGUCGAGCGAACAGAUGAGAAGCUUGCUUCUCUGAUGUUAGCGGCGGACGGGUGAGUAACACGUGGGUAACCUACCUAUAAGACUGGGAUAACUCCGGGAAACCGGGGCUAAUACCGGAUAAUAUUUUGAACCGCAUGGUUCAAUAGUGAAAGACGGUUUCGGCUGUCACUUAUAGAUGGACCCGCGCCGUAUUAGCUAGUUGGUAAGGUAACGGCUUACCAAGGCGACGAUACGUAGCCGACCUGAGAGGGUGAUCGGCCACACUGGAACUGAGACACGGUCCAGACUCCUACGGGAGGCAGCAGUAGGGAAUCUUCCGCAAUGGGCGAAAGCCUGACGGAGCAACGCCGCGUGAGUGAUGAAGGUCUUCGGAUCGUAAAACUCUGUUGUUAGGGAAGAACAAAUUUGUUAGUAACUGAACAAGUCUUGACGGUACCUAACCAGAAAGCCACGGCUAACUACGUGCCAGCAGCCGCGGUAAUACGUAGGUGGCAAGCGUUAUCCGGAAUUAUUGGGCGUAAAGCGCGCGUAGGCGGUUUCUUAAGUCUGAUGUGAAAGCCCACGGCUCAACCGUGGAGGGUCAUUGGAAACUGGGAAACUUGAGUGCAGAAGAGGAGAGUGGAAUUCCAUGUGUAGCGGUGAAAUGCGCAGAGAUAUGGAGGAACACCAGUGGCGAAGGCGGCUCUCUGGUCUGUAACUGACGCUGAUGUGCGAAAGCGUGGGGAUCAAACAGGAUUAGAUACCCUGGUAGUCCACGCCGUAAACGAUGAGUGCUAAGUGUUAGGGGGUUUCCGCCCCUUAGUGCUGCAGCUAACGCAUUAAGCACUCCGCCUGGGGAGUACGACCGCAAGGUUGAAACUCAAAGGAAUUGACGGGGACCCGCACAAGCGGUGGAGCAUGUGGUUUAAUUCGAAGCAACGCGAAGAACCUUACCAAAUCUUGACAUCCUUUGACCGCUCUAGAGAUAGAGUCUUCCCCUUCGGGGGACAAAGUGACAGGUGGUGCAUGGUUGUCGUCAGCUCGUGUCGUGAGAUGUUGGGUUAAGUCCCGCAACGAGCGCAACCCUUAAGCUUAGUUGCCAUCAUUAAGUUGGGCACUCUAGGUUGACUGCCGGUGACAAACCGGAGGAAGGUGGGGAUGACGUCAAAUCAUCAUGCCCCUUAUGAUUUGGGCUACACACGUGCUACAAUGGAUAAUACAAAGGGCAGCGAAUCCGCGAGGCCAAGCAAAUCCCAUAAAAUUAUUCUCAGUUCGGAUUGUAGUCUGCAACUCGACUACAUGAAGCUGGAAUCGCUAGUAAUCGUAGAUCAGCAUGCUACGGUGAAUACGUUCCCGGGUCUUGUACACACCGCCCGUCACACCACGAGAGUUUGUAACACCCGAAGCCGGUGGAGUAACCUUUUAGGAGCUAGCCGUCG